GUGGCUCAGUGGUAGAGCGCUUGCCUUGUAUGCAUGAGGCCUUGGGUUCGAUUCAAC
This 57-nucleotide transfer RNA is filed under the name Dipodomys ordii (Ord's kangaroo rat). It matches the Rfam family "tRNA", at positions 7 to 64 of the family's 71-position model. From Rfam's summary of the family: Transfer RNA (tRNA) molecules are approximately 80 nucleotides in length. The record is from Rfam by way of RNAcentral. Lineage: Eukaryota; Metazoa; Chordata; Mammalia; Rodentia; Heteromyidae.